ACACAUGCAAGUCGAACGGUGGUAGCAAUACUAAAGUGGCAAACGGGUGCGUAACGCGUAACCAACCUGCCCCAUACCGGGGGAUAGCCCGGCGAAAGCUGGGGUAAACCCGCACGGUCCCAAGAGGUCACCUGGUUUUUUGGGUAAACAUUUAUGGGUUUGAGAGGGGCUUGCGUCUGAUUAGCUAGUUGGCAGGGUAACGGCCUACCAAGGCGAUGAUCAGUAGGGGUUCUGAGAGGAUUGGCCCCCACAUGGGUACUGAGAUACGGGCCCGACUCCUACGGGAGGCAGCAGUAGGGAAUAUUGGGCAAUGGGCGAGAGCCUGACCCAGCCAUGCCGCGUGCAGGACGAAGGCUUUCUGAGUCGUAAACUGCUUUUGACAGGGAAGAAUAAGCUGGUCGUGACCAGUGAUGACGGUACCUGCAGAAUAAGCACCGGCUAACUCCGUGCCAGCAGCCGCGGUAAU
This 466-nucleotide ribosomal RNA is filed under the name uncultured bacterium. Its description in RNAcentral is "bacterial SSU rRNA". It matches the Rfam family "Bacterial small subunit ribosomal RNA", at positions 51 to 524 of the family's 1533-position model. The record is from RNAcentral.